UUUUGGUAAUAUGCAAAGUUUUGGUAAUGUAUAUGCAAAAUUUUUGUAUUCUUUGGUUGGUUUGUUGACAUUGUUUAUGGGUUGUACAUUGGGAACAUGUUUGUUGAAGCCAGCUUCUUCAUUAGGAUGUCAUCCUCAGCUUCUUCAUAGAUUUCGACGAACAACUCAAGUGCACCUAUGGGAAGCUCGCAAAACUUAGAACAUCGAAUACGCCAAGAAAUUCGGGCCGAUCAUUUUUUGGGUGUCCAAACUACAAUAUAGAGGAAUUACCACACUGCAACUAUUUCAAAUGGGCAAAUCACAGUGAGGAAAGAGAAAAAAAACUUGUGAAGAUAGAAAUUGAGUUGUUAAGAAAUGAGGAAGAGCUUCGAA
Juglans microcarpa x Juglans regia is the source of this 372-nucleotide long non-coding RNA. RefSeq lists it as uncharacterized. The transcript has 2 exons. Lineage: Eukaryota; Viridiplantae; Streptophyta; Magnoliopsida; Fagales; Juglandaceae. The record is from RefSeq and is a predicted model, not a curated record.